AAAGUUUUAAGUUAAUUAAACUAAUAAUUUUCAAAAUUAUCAAUAAGAACUUUUCUUAAGCUUUA
RNAcentral lists this transfer RNA (65 nucleotides) under Oxyethira ecornuta. RNAcentral describes it as "tRNA-Trp". The record is from RNAcentral. Lineage: Eukaryota; Metazoa; Arthropoda; Insecta; Trichoptera; Hydroptilidae.